GAGGAUAGGAGAACAGGGCCCAUCCACACCAGCGGUCGGGGGCUAAGAAAGAAGAGUUGACUUGGCGGCCUCCUCACCUUCUUGCUUCUCUACGCCCCCUUGCCCAGAGAACUAUCUGGUGGAGCGGAUGCCCUCCUUGUGUUUUGAGAUUUCUGAGAGGCCCCCAGGUGCGCCUGCUAUAGCGAUGAUCCUUGGUCUUUAAUUAGCCUCCACCAGCAAGACUGUUUGUUCUGGUUCCUUCCAGUCAUCACUCUAGAGGAGUAAGAGCACUGCACAGAGUGUCAGGAGGUCUCCGCCGGCUACACGGUCUCGGGCGCGACACUUCCUUUUCCAGGUCUUAGUGCCUAGUCUGAGCCGUCUGGUGUCUUUCAUCUCUAAAGCAUUUGGAUUUGACAUCCCAGGCUUUCUCCACCUCUGCCCAGGUUUCUGGUGCAGGGCAGGCUUUUUGAACGACCUGCCAGGAUUCCUUUGACGCUUUGUGGGAAGGAGUAGCAGAAAUGGAGGACUGGUCUCCUGAGUAGACUCCUGUCUCCAAAGUGGGUAGGAGCCCUCCAGAGGGAGUGUGGCCCCAUCCCUCUUGGGAAUGUGGAAAUUCUAGAAGAGCAGGUUUUUUCAGUCACCAAGAGUUGGCAGACUACAACCCUUGGGUCAGAUGCCUGCUUUUAUAAAUAAAGUUUUAUUGGAACACAGA
This is a long non-coding RNA of Suricata suricatta (meerkat), 691 nucleotides long. RefSeq lists it as uncharacterized. The record is from RefSeq and is a predicted model, not a curated record. NCBI's taxonomy places the organism in Eukaryota, Metazoa, Chordata, Mammalia, Carnivora, Herpestidae. The transcript is spliced from 2 exons.